Molecule: ribosomal RNA, 404 nt
Filed under: Clostridioides difficile
Lineage: Bacteria; Bacillati; Bacillota; Clostridia; Peptostreptococcales; Peptostreptococcaceae
Description: bacterial LSU rRNA
Rfam family: Bacterial large subunit ribosomal RNA
Source: RNAcentral
GGGAGUGAAAUAGAACCUGAAACCCUGCACUUACAAGCUGUGGAAGCACAUUUCUUGUGUGACCGCGUACUUUUUGUAGAACGGGCCAACGAGUUACGUUAAGUAGCAAGGUUAAGCACUUAAGGUGCGGAGCCGUAGCGAAAGCGAGUUUUAACUGAGCGUUCAGUUACUUGACGUAGACCAGAAACCGGGCGACAUACCCAGGAGAAGGAUGACGCGAAAGUAAAAUUUCUUGGAGGUCUGAACCCCCGAGCGUUGAACAGCUCGGGGAUGACGUGUGGGUAGCGGUGAAAUUCCAACAGAGCAUGGAGACAGCAGGUUUUCUCUGAAAUAGCCUUAGGGCUAGCCUCAAGGUGAGAGAUACGGAGGUAGAGCACUGAAUGUCCUAGGGGGUAUUGCACCUA